UCCGGUUUGGCACCGGCAGUCCUCCCAGAGUCCUCGGCAUGGCCCGGUAGCAACUGGGAGCGGGGGUUGCGCUCGUUGCGGGACUUAACCCAACAUCUCACGACACGAGCUGACGACAGCCAUGCAGCACCUGAACCAGGGGUCCCCGAAGGGAAGACCUCAUCUCUGAGGCUGUCCCCUGUUGUCUAGCCCAGGUAAGGUUCUUCGCGUUGCGUCGAAUUGAACCGCAUGCUCCACCGCUUGUGCGAGCCCCCGUCAAUUCCUUUGAGUUUUAACCUUGCGGCCGUACUCCCCAGGCGGGGCACUUAAUGCGUUAGCUGCGGCACGGACAACGUGGAAUGUUGCCCACACCUAGUGCCCACCGUUUACGGCGUGGACUAC
RNAcentral lists this unclassified non-coding RNA (381 nucleotides) under uncultured bacterium. Its description in RNAcentral is "contains 16S-23S intergenic spacer region". The record is from RNAcentral.